RNAcentral lists this long non-coding RNA (581 nucleotides) under Brassica rapa (field mustard). Its description in RNAcentral is "long non-coding RNA (BRAP_LNC008134)". Lineage: Eukaryota; Viridiplantae; Streptophyta; Magnoliopsida; Brassicales; Brassicaceae. The record is from RNAcentral.
CUUAACCUCACUUAUCCUCUUUGGUCGAGUUUCCUCUCUUCUCUUCACUAAGUUACCUUCUCAUCCCAUCAGAUAACUUCCCCAAGUAGUUACUGUGGUUAAAAUAAAGUUACCACAGUAAAACUCUAAAGUUACUGUCUCAGCCUCCUUGGUCUUCAUCUCAAUAACCCUAACAUUGCACACUCACCCAUUUGCUCCUCAACACUCUUCUAAGUCUCUCCUAGACUUUUCCCUUGCUUAGAACAUCCCUCAUAUCACUUCUGAACACCUUUAGACUCCUCAUCACUCUUGAUAGGCAAUCUCUAAAGCUCUUGCCCUAUCUUUGUACAAGAUCCAUCUCAACUCAACACCUUUAGCUCCUCCAUUCCUUUCUUCAAGUUAACACUCCCCCUCAAGCUUGACUCUAGCUGAUCCUAAGUCAAGCUUGGAACCUUGAAGAACUUCCUCAUUAAAAACCUCACCAAGGAAAACCCUUUGGGACAAAACCUUGAUGAGGGAAAAAGAGUAAAGUCUCCAAGGCUUAGGGAUUGGCCAGUGAGUCUUUGUGCCUUACCAACAAUGUAAGGGACACAAAGACUCUG